RNAcentral lists this ribosomal RNA (1320 nucleotides) under metagenome. Its description in RNAcentral is "bacterial SSU rRNA". It matches the Rfam family "Archaeal small subunit ribosomal RNA", at positions 121 to 1445 of the family's 1478-position model. The record is from RNAcentral.
CUGGGAUAACCUUGAGAAAUUGAGGCUAAACCCGGAUAGGAGAUCGGUACUGGAAUGUCCUUUCUCCUAAAGGUAACGCCUAAGGAUAAGUCGGCGGCUGAUUAGGUAGUUGGCGAGGUAAUGGCUCACCAAGCCUUGGAUCAGUAGGGGGGAUGAGAGUCCUAGCCCCGAGAAGGGCACUGAGAUACUGGCCCUAGCCCUAAGGGGUGCAGCAGGCGCGCAAACUUUACAAUGCACGAAAGUGUGAUAGGGGGAUCCCUAGUGCUUUGUCUUCGGAUAAAGCUUUUUUUAAGUCUAAAUAGCUUAGAGAAUAAGUGGUGGGAAAGACGGGUGCCAGCCGCCGCGGUAACACCCGCGCCACAAGUGGCAAUCAUAAUUAUUGGGUCUAAAGCGUUCGUAGCCGGUUUGAUAACUCUCUUGUGAAAUUGUUGGGCUUAACCUAACAACGCGCAAGAGAAACUAUUAGACUUGGGACCGGGAGGAGCUAGAGGUAUUCUAGGGGGAUCGGUAAAAUGUGAUAAUCCCCGGAGGACCACCAGUGGCGAAGGCGUCUAGCUAGAACGGGUCUGACGGUGAGGAACGAAGGCCAGGGGAGCAAAACGGAUUAGAUACCCGAGUAGUCCUGGCAGUAAACGCUGUGAGCUAUGUGUUGCACAAUCUUAGUGGUCGUGCAGUGCCUAAGCGAAGGUGUUAAGCUCACCACCUGGGAAGUACAGUCGCAAGACCGAAACUUAAAGGAAUUGGCGGGGGCUCACUACAAGGGGUGAAGAGUGCGGUUCAAUUGGAUUCCACGCCGGAAAUCUCACCAGGGGCGAUGGCAUGAUGAAGGUCAGAUUAAAGGUUUUACCUAAAGCGCCAAGAGGUGGUGCAUGGCCGACGCCAGCUCGUGCCGUGAGGUGUCACGUUAAGUCGUGCAACGAGCAAGACCCAUGUCUACUUUUACCAACAGAUUCUACGGAAUGACUGGGUACAAUGUGGAGACUGCUUUCGUAAGGAAGAGGAAGGUGUGGGCAACGUUAGGUCCGUAUGCCCCGAAUCUCCUGGGCUACACGCGCUCUGCAAUGGUAGAGACAAUAGGAUGCGACUCCGAAAGGAGAAGCAAACCCUCUAAACUCUAUCUUAGUCUGGAUUGAGGGUUGUAACUCACCCUCAUGAAACCGGAAUCCCUAGUAAUCGGAUCUCAUUACGGUCCGGUGAAUAACGUCCCUGAGCCUUGCACACACUGCCCGUCAAACCAACCGAGCAUGGUUUAGAUGAGACUUAGUUCUUUGAUUAAGUCGAAUCUAAGUUAAGUAAGGUGGGUUAAGUCGUCACAAGGUA